UAGGGAAUAUUGGUCAAUGGAUGGAAGUCUGAACCAGCCAUGCCGCGUGCAGGAAGAAGGCCUUCUGGGUUGUAAACUGCUUUUGCCAGGGGCUAAAAAGCUCAUGCGUGGGAAAUUGAAAGUACCUGGUGAAUAAGCCACGGCUAACUACGUGCCAGCAGCCGCGGUAAUACGUAGGUGGCAAGCGUUGUCCGGAUUUAUUGGGUUUAAAGGGUGCGUAGGCGGCUUUGUAAGUCAGUGGUGAAAUAUGGCAGCUCAACUGUCAGGGUGCCAUUGAUACUGCAGAGCUUGAGUACAGAUGAGGUAGGCGGAAUUGACGGUGUAGCGGUGAAAUGCUUAGAUAUCGUCAAGAACACCUAUAGCGAAGGCAGCUUACUAGGCUGUAACUGACGCUGAGGCACGAAAGUGUGGGGAUCAAACAG
This 422-nucleotide ribosomal RNA is filed under the name uncultured bacterium. Its description in RNAcentral is "bacterial SSU rRNA". It matches the Rfam family "Bacterial small subunit ribosomal RNA", at positions 355 to 775 of the family's 1533-position model. The record is from RNAcentral.